AGACCCAGCUAAAAAUAAGGAUGUUUUUCCUGAGAGAUUCUUAUCAGCGACUUUUCAAGAUUUACCAGCACCGAAUUUGACGUGGGAGAAGAUGGCGUCAGCACCAGUGCCUCGUCUAGAUGGCGCUGCAAUACAGAUAAAAAAUCUUUUAUAUGUGUUUGCUGGAUAUGGUACCUCUGAUUAUAGACAAACUCACAAGGAAGCUGCCCAGCAAUCCUUGUCUUCAUAGCUAGCAUCCCUAUUUAUUAUAAUUUCUCCAUAUUUAG
Long non-coding RNA from Mangifera indica (mango), 266 nucleotides. RefSeq lists it as uncharacterized. Lineage: Eukaryota; Viridiplantae; Streptophyta; Magnoliopsida; Sapindales; Anacardiaceae. The record is from RefSeq and is a predicted model, not a curated record. The transcript has 2 exons.